GAUGAACGCUGGCGGCGUGCCUAAUACAUGCAAGUCGAGCGAACAGACGAGGAGCUUGCUCCUCUGACGUUAGCGGCGGACGGGUGAGUAACACGUGGAUAACCUACCUAUAAGACUGGGAUAACUUCGGGAAACCGGAGCUAAUGCCGGAUAAUAUAUUGAACCGCAUGGUUCAAUAGUGAAAGACGGUUUUGCUGUCACUUAUAGAUGGAUCCGCGCCGCAUUAGCUAGUUGGUAAGGUAACGGCUUACCAAGGCAACGAUGCGUAGCCGACCUGAGAGGGUGAUCAGCCACAAUGGAACUGAGACACGGUCCAGACUCCUACGGGAGGCAGCAGUGGGGAAUUUUGCACAAUGGGCGAAAGCCUGACGGAGCAACGCCGCGUGAGUGAUGAAGGUCUUCGGAUCGUAAAACCCUGUUAUUAGGGAAGAAAAAAAGUGUAAUUAACUAUGCACGUCUUGACGGUACCUAAACAGAAAGCCACGGCUAACUACGUG
RNAcentral lists this ribosomal RNA (497 nucleotides) under uncultured bacterium. Its description in RNAcentral is "partial 16S ribosomal RNA". It matches the Rfam family "Bacterial small subunit ribosomal RNA", at positions 28 to 507 of the family's 1533-position model. The record is from RNAcentral.